Molecule: ribosomal RNA, 316 nt
Filed under: uncultured bacterium
Lineage: Bacteria
Description: bacterial SSU rRNA
Rfam family: Bacterial small subunit ribosomal RNA
Source: RNAcentral
AACGAACGCUGGCGGCAUGCCUAACACAUGCAAGUCGAACGGGAGUCCUGGUUUCGGCCAGGUGAGAGUGGCGGACGGGUGAGUAACGCGUGGGAACCUGCCCAGUGGUGGGGGAUAACUGCGGGAAACUGCAGCUAAUACCGCAUGAGCCCGCAAGGGGAAAGAUUGAUCGCCAUUGGAGGGGCCCGCGUUCGAUUAGGUAGUUGGUGAGGUAACGGCUCACCAAGCCUACGAUCGAUAGCUGGUCUGAGAGGAUGAUCAGCCACACUGGGACUGAGAUACGGCCCAGACUCCUACGGGAGGCAGCAGUGGGAUA